UCCCUCCCUCCCUCCCUCCCUCCCUCCCUCCCUCCCUCCCUCCCUCCCUCCCUCCCUCCCUCCCUCCCUCUCUGUCUGUCUGUGUUUGUGUCUGUCUCUCUCUCUCUCUCUCUCUCUCUCUCUAAUUUAGACUCUACUACACCUGAGGACAGCACUAGAGAACAAAUAACUACAGUUGAUAACACAACACAACUGACCACAGUUACCAGUAGGUAUCAUCAUGUUCUGGAGAACAACAUUUGUGUUUCUCCCCUGCUGUAGACGCUAAAACAACUGCACCCACAACAGGACAAAGUACUACGGCUGACCUCACAACACAACUGGCCACAAGUUACCUGGAAAUACAGUCAUUAACUGCUGAAAAUCAUUUAUUCUGAACCUCAGUUCCUCACACAUUUGUCACAAUUUCUGUUUCUCUCUUGUUAAGACUCUACGACACCUGAGGCCAGCACUACAGAACAAAUGACCAAAGUUACCAGUAAGUUUCAUCAAGUUCUGGAGAACAAAACUUGUCUGAAGCAGAGUUCACCACCAAACGAUCUGACAUUCAAUCACCAUGUUUCUUCCCUUCUGUAGACUCUACAACAACUCCACCCACAACAGGACAAAGUACUACAGCUGACCCCACAACACAACAGACCACAGUUACCAACUUUACUACACCUGCAGCUACAACAAAUCAGACCACUGCAGUUGACCCCACAACACAACCGACCACAGACACUAGAACUACAGUAACUACUGAACCACCACCAGCAACUACAAAAACGACACCACCAACAACAAUACCACCACCAACAACAAUACCACCACCAACACCACCAACAACAAUACCACCACCAACAACAAUACCACCACCAACACUACCAACAACAGUACCACCACCAACAACAACAACACCACCACCAACUACAAAACCAGCUGGUAUGUGUAAGAAUAGAAGAUGUUUCUGAACACUGCUAAAUGAAUCCUGAUUAUGCCAUGAUUAUGAAAGAACAUGAAUCAAUCAUGAACCCUGAUGGGUGAGAAGGUUACAGAGGCUACAACAAAACAUGUUAACCUCUCACCAUUAGCAAUAGCAUUUUUGGGGUGUAUGAUGUGCCUCUGUUAAUUUCUCAGUCAUUAUUAUUCACGAUUCAUUCACGAUUAUCCAUAAUCAUGGUAGCAUCCACAUUCAUGUAGAAGUGUUCAGAGACAUCUUCUAUUCUUACUUACAAUAAAAGGGUCUCCAAAAUGACACAAUGCAUUAUUCACCAUUCAGUUCCUAUAGGGAAAAAUAUAAUCUGAAACACAAACAAAACAUUAUGCAAAGGAAUAUGGGAACAAAUACCACACUUAUGACUACUUUACUACACUAUAAGUACAUUUUUCUCAAAUGUGGGGACUAGAUACAGUGGGGCAAAAAAGUAUUUAGUCAGCCACCAAUUGUGCAAGUUCUCCCACUUAAAAAGAUGAGAGAGGCCUGUAAUUGUCAUCAUAGGUACACUUCAACUAUGACAGACAAAAUGAGAAGAAAAAAUCCAGAAAAUCACAUUGUAGGAUUUUUAAUGAAUUUAUUUGCAAAUUAUGGUGGAAAAUAAGUAUUUGGUCACCUACAAACAAGCAAGAUUUCUGGCUCUCACAGACCUGUAACUUCUUCUUUAAGAGGCUCCUCUGUCCUCCACUCGUUACCUGUAUUAAUGGCACCUGUUUGAACUUGUUAUCAGUAUAAAAGACACCUGUCCACAACCUCAAACA
Molecule: long non-coding RNA, 1737 nt
Filed under: Oncorhynchus kisutch (coho salmon)
Lineage: Eukaryota; Metazoa; Chordata; Actinopteri; Salmoniformes; Salmonidae
Description: lncRNA (ENSOKIG00005028647.1)
Source: RNAcentral